This 505-nucleotide ribosomal RNA is filed under the name uncultured bacterium. RNAcentral describes it as "partial 16S ribosomal RNA". It matches the Rfam family "Bacterial small subunit ribosomal RNA", at positions 28 to 507 of the family's 1533-position model. The record is from RNAcentral.
GACGAACGCUGGCGGCGUGCCUAAUACAUGCCAGUAGAACGCACAGUUUAUACCGUAGCUUGCUCCACCAUAGACUGUGAGUUGCGAACGGGUGAGUAACGCGUAGGUAACCUGCCUGGUAGCGGGGGAUAACUAUUGGAACCGAUAGCUAAUACCGCAUAAUAUUGAUUAUUGCAUGAUAAUUAAUUGAACGGUGCAAUUGCACCACUACCAGAUGGACCUGCGUUGUAUUAGCUAGUAGGUGAGGUAACGGCUCACCUAGGCGACGAUACAUAGCCGACCUGAGAGGGUGAUCGGCCACACUGGGACUGAGACACGGCCCAGACUCCUACGGGAGGCAGCAGUAGGGAAUCUUCGGCAAUGGACGAAAGUCUGACCGAGCAACGCCGCGGGAGUGAAGAAGGGUUUCGGAUCGUAAAGCUCUGUUGUAAGAGAAGAACGGGUGUGAGAGUGGAAAGUUCACACUGUGACGGUAACUUACCAGAAAGGGACGGCUAACUACGUG